GCUUGUGAUUGAGCGUAUAGUGAGGGUAUAAAGCGUAUUAAUAUCAGUCCAUAACCAUAAUACGCCAUGCCGUUCGACUUAUCGUGUAAAUAUAGAGAUCACUCGAGCGGCACGGAAGCAAGUCGUAGAUCUCUGGCGUCCAAUGCGGUUGCAGUCGAGCUGCUGCAUCGCUCGAUGUGCGACCUAAGUACACGAAAACGUGGCGAUAUUUACGGCCACAACCGUUUACACCGUGAGGACUGCUUAUUUUUCGAAGAAUUUUCGAACAUUUAGAAAAACUGU
Neodiprion virginianus is the source of this 282-nucleotide long non-coding RNA. RefSeq lists it as uncharacterized. The transcript has 2 exons. Lineage: Eukaryota; Metazoa; Arthropoda; Insecta; Hymenoptera; Diprionidae. The record is from RefSeq and is a predicted model, not a curated record.